RNAcentral lists this ribosomal RNA (104 nucleotides) under uncultured bacterium. Its description in RNAcentral is "partial 16S ribosomal RNA". It matches the Rfam family "Bacterial small subunit ribosomal RNA", at positions 1379 to 1482 of the family's 1533-position model. The record is from RNAcentral.
CCUUGUACACACCGCCCGUCACACCAUGGGAGUGGGUUGCUCCAGGAGUAGCUAGUCUAACCUUCGGGGGGACGGUUACCACGGAGUGAUUCAUGACUGGGGUG